This 468-nucleotide ribosomal RNA is filed under the name uncultured bacterium. RNAcentral's name for it is "partial 16S ribosomal RNA". It matches the Rfam family "Bacterial small subunit ribosomal RNA", at positions 28 to 507 of the family's 1533-position model. The record is from RNAcentral.
GACGAACGCUGGCGGCGUGCUUAACACAUGCGAGUCGAACGGAAAGGCCCUGCUUUUGUGGGGUGCUCGAGUGGCGAACGGGUGAGUAACACGUGAGUAACCUGCCCUUGACUUUGGGAUAACUUCAGGAAACUGGGGCUAAUACCGGAUAGGAGCUCCUGCUGCAUGGUGGGGGUUGGAAAGUUUCGGCGGUUGGGGAUGGACUCGCGGCUUAUCAGCUUGUUGGUGGGGUAGUGGCUUACCAAGGCUUUGACGGGUAGCCGGCCUGAGAGGGUGACCGGCCACAUUGGGACUGAGAUACGGCCCAGACUCCUACGGGAGGCAGCAGUGGGGAAUAUUGCACAAUGGGCGGAAGCCUGAUGCAGCAACUCCGCGUGCGGGAUGACGGCCUUCGGGUUGUAAACCGCUUUCGCCUGUGACGAAGCGUGAGUGACGGUAAUGGGUAAAGAAGCACCGGCUAACUACGUG